RNAcentral lists this unclassified non-coding RNA (320 nucleotides) under Acremonium polychromum. Its description in RNAcentral is "Gliomastix polychroma sequence contains ITS1". The stretch from base 1 to 105 matches the Rfam family "5.8S ribosomal RNA", at positions 50 to 154 of the family's 154-position model. Lineage: Eukaryota; Fungi; Ascomycota; Sordariomycetes; Hypocreales; Bionectriaceae. The record is from RNAcentral.
GAAAUGCGAUAAGUAAUGCGAAUUGCAGAAUUCAGUGAAUCAUCGAAUCUUUGAACGCACAUUGCGCCCGCUAGUAUUCUGGCGGGCAUGCCUGUCUGAGCGUCAUUUCAACCCUCGUCCCCCGUCUAGGCGGGAGGGCGGUGUUGGGGAUGGGCCUGCCUCCGGGCCGGCCCGCCCCUAAAUGUAGUGGCGACCACGCCGUAGCCUCCUCUGCGUAGUAGUAACUCACCUCGCGGGCGGAGAGCGGUGCGGCCUGCCGUAAAACCCCCUACUUUCUCAAGGUUGACCUCAGAUCAGGUAGGAAUACCCGCUGAACUUAA